GGUUAUGGCUCAGCGUUACAGCACAUGCCUAGCAUGUGCGAGGCCCUGGGUUCGAUCCUCAGCACCA
RNAcentral lists this transfer RNA (67 nucleotides) under Marmota monax (woodchuck). RNAcentral describes it as "tRNA.Ala". The record is from RNAcentral. Lineage: Eukaryota; Metazoa; Chordata; Mammalia; Rodentia; Sciuridae.